GACGAACGCUGGCGGCGUGCUUAACACAUGCAAGUCGAACGGAAAGGCCCUGCUUUUGUGGGGUGCUCGAGUGGCGAACGGGUGAGUAACACGUGAGUAACCUGCCCUUGACUUUGGGAUAACUUCAGGAAACUGGGGCUAAUACCGGAUAGGAGCUCCUGCUGCAUGGUGGGGGUUGGAAAGUUUCGGCGGUUGGGGAUGGACUCGCGGCUUAUCAGCUUGUUGGUGGGGUAGUGGCUUACCAAGGCUUUGACGGGUAGCCGGGCUGAGAGGGUGACCGGCCACAUUGGGACUGAGAUGCGGCCCAGACUCCUACGGGAGGCAGCAGUGGGGAAUAUUGCACAAUGGGCGGAAGCCUGAUGCAGCAACGCCGCGUGCGGGAUGACGGCCUUCGGGUUGUAAACCGCUUUCGCCUGUGACGAAGCGUGAGUGACGGUAAUGGGUAAAGAAGCACCGGCUAACUACGUG
This 468-nucleotide ribosomal RNA is filed under the name uncultured bacterium. RNAcentral's name for it is "partial 16S ribosomal RNA". It matches the Rfam family "Bacterial small subunit ribosomal RNA", at positions 28 to 507 of the family's 1533-position model. The record is from RNAcentral.